This 467-nucleotide ribosomal RNA is filed under the name uncultured bacterium. RNAcentral describes it as "partial 16S ribosomal RNA". It matches the Rfam family "Bacterial small subunit ribosomal RNA", at positions 28 to 507 of the family's 1533-position model. The record is from RNAcentral.
GACGAACGCUGGCGGCGUGCUUAACACAUGCAAGUCGAACGGAAGGGCCCUGCUUUUGUGGGGUGCUCGAGUGGCGAACGGGUGAGUAACACGUGAGUAACCUGCCCUUGACUUUGGGAUAACUUCAGGAAACUGGGGCUAAUACCGGAUAGGAGCUCCUGCUGCAUGGUGGGGGUUGGAAAGUUUCGGCGGUUGGGGAUGGACUCGCGGCUUAUCAGCUUGUUGGUGGGGUAGUGGCUUACCAAGGCUUUGACGGGUAGCCGGCCUGAGAGGGUGACCGGCCACAUUGGGACUGAGAUACGGCCCAGACUCCUACGGGAGGCAGCAGUGGGGAAUAUUGCACAAUGGGCGGAAGCCUGAUGCAGCAACGCCGCGUGCGGAUGACGGCCUUCGGGUUGUAAACCGCUUUCGCCUGUGACGAAGCGUGAGUGACGGUAAUGGGUAAAGAAGCACCGGCUAACUACGUG